RNAcentral lists this ribosomal RNA (434 nucleotides) under uncultured bacterium. RNAcentral describes it as "partial 16S ribosomal RNA". It matches the Rfam family "Bacterial small subunit ribosomal RNA", at positions 29 to 507 of the family's 1533-position model. The record is from RNAcentral.
AGCGAACGCUGGCGGCAGGCCUAACACAUGCAAGUCGAACGAACCUUUCGGGGUUAGUGGCGGACGGGUGAGUAACACGUGGGAACGUGCCUUUAGGUUCGGAAUAACUCAGGGAAACUUGUGCUAAUACCGAAUGUGCCCUUCGGGGGAAAGAUUUAUCGCCUUUAGAGCGGCCCGCGUCUGAUUAGCUAGUUGGUUGAGGUAAUGGCUCACCAAGGCGACGAUCAGUAGCUGGUCUGAGAGGAUGAUCAGCCACAUUGGGACUGAGACACGGCCCAAACUCCUACGGGAGGCAGCAGUGGUGAAUCUUGCGCAAUGGGCGAAAGCCUGACGCAGCCAUGCCGCGUGAAUGAUGAAGGUCUUAGGAUUGUAAAAUUCUUUCACCGGGGACGAUAAUGACGGUACCCGGAGAAGAAGCCCCGGCUAACUUCGUG